Molecule: ribosomal RNA, 495 nt
Filed under: uncultured bacterium
Lineage: Bacteria
Description: partial 16S ribosomal RNA
Rfam family: Bacterial small subunit ribosomal RNA
Source: RNAcentral
GACGAACGCUGGCGGCGUGCCUAAUACAUGCAAGUAGGACGCUGAAGGAGGAGCUUGCUUCUCUGGAUGAGUUGCGAACGGGUGAGUAACGCGUAGGGAACCUGCCUGGUAGCGGGGGGUAACUAUUGGAAACGAUAGCUAAUACCGCAUAAUAGUAGAUGUUGCAUGACAUUUGCUUAAAAGGUGCAAUUGCCUCACUACCAGAUGGAACUGCGUUGUAUUAGCUAGUUGGUGGGGUAACGGCUCACCAAGGCGACGAUACAUAGCCGACCUGAGAGGGUGAUCGGCCACACUGGGACUGAGACACGGCCCAGACUCCUACGGGAGGCAGCAGUAGGGAAUCUUCGGCAAUGGACGGAAGUCUGACCGAGCAACGCCGCGUGAGUGAAGAAGGUUUUCGGAUCGUAAAGCUCUGUUGUAAGAGAAGAACGAGUGUGAGAGUGGAAAGUUCACACUGUGACGGUAUCUUACCAGAAAGGGACGGCUAACUACGUG